Molecule: ribosomal RNA, 115 nt
Filed under: Danio rerio (zebrafish)
Lineage: Eukaryota; Metazoa; Chordata; Actinopteri; Cypriniformes; Danionidae
Source: RNAcentral
GCCGGCAGCUAGCUCUCUGCAACUCUCACAUGGUCGCCCACUGAAGCUAAGCAGGGCUGCGCCCGGUCAGUACCUGGAUGGGAGACCACUUGGGAAAGCUAGGUUGCUGCUGGAA